This is a small nucleolar RNA of Micropterus dolomieu (smallmouth bass), 70 nucleotides long. RefSeq annotates it as small nucleolar RNA R38. The transcript has a single exon. Lineage: Eukaryota; Metazoa; Chordata; Actinopteri; Centrarchiformes; Centrarchidae. The record is from RefSeq and is a predicted model, not a curated record.
UCAAGCCAUUGAUGAUACAAGUUAUCCCUGUCUGAACAUGAGUGUGGAGUCAUGGUAACCUGAGGCUUGA